GCUUACGGCACACCGGCCUGAGUACGCCUGAUCUCGUCCGAUCUCGGAAGCUAAGCAGGGUCGGGCCUGGUUAGUACUUGGAUGGGAGACCGCCUGGGAAUACCAGGUGCUGUAAGCU
This is a ribosomal RNA of Oncorhynchus mykiss (rainbow trout), 118 nucleotides long. NCBI's taxonomy places the organism in Eukaryota, Metazoa, Chordata, Actinopteri, Salmoniformes, Salmonidae. The record is from Ensembl.